GAUCAUGGCUCAGGAUGAACGCUAGCUACAGGCUUAACACAUGCAAGUCGAGGGGAAACGACAUCGAAAGCUUGCUUUUGAUGGGCGUCGACCGGCGCACGGGUGAGUAACGCGUAUCCAACCUGCCCACCACUUGGGGAUAACCUUGCGAAAGUAAGACUAAUACCCAAUGACAUCCCACGAAGACAUCUGAAAGAGAUUAAAGAUUCAUCGGUGAUGGAUGGGGAUGCGU
RNAcentral lists this ribosomal RNA (232 nucleotides) under uncultured bacterium. Its description in RNAcentral is "partial 16S ribosomal RNA". It matches the Rfam family "Bacterial small subunit ribosomal RNA", at positions 15 to 236 of the family's 1533-position model. The record is from RNAcentral.